UACGGAGGAUGCAAGCGUUAUCCGGAAUUAUUGGGCGUAAAGCGUCCGCAGGUGGCACUUCAAGUCUGUCGUCAAAGACCGGGGCUUAACCCUGGAAAGGCGAUGGAAACUGAAAGGCUAGAGAGAGGUAGGGGUAGAGGGAAUUCCCAGUGUAGCGGUGAAAUGCGUAGAGAUUGGGAAGAACAUCGGUGGCGAAAGCGCUCUGCUGGACUGCAACUGACACUCAGGGACGAAAGCUAGGGGAGCGAAUGGG
This 253-nucleotide ribosomal RNA is filed under the name uncultured bacterium. RNAcentral describes it as "partial 16S ribosomal RNA". It matches the Rfam family "Bacterial small subunit ribosomal RNA", at positions 524 to 776 of the family's 1533-position model. The record is from RNAcentral.